This 253-nucleotide ribosomal RNA is filed under the name uncultured bacterium. RNAcentral's name for it is "partial 16S ribosomal RNA". It matches the Rfam family "Bacterial small subunit ribosomal RNA", at positions 524 to 776 of the family's 1533-position model. The record is from RNAcentral.
UACGGGGGGAGCAAGCGUUGUCCGGAUUCAUUGGGCGUAAAGAGCUCGUAGGCGGCCACUCAAGUCGAAUGUGAAACCUCGAGGCUUAACCUCGAGCCUGCAUUCGAUACUGGGCGGCUAGAGUCUGGUAGGGGGAUCUGGAAUUCCUGGUGUAGCGGUGGAAUGCGCAGAUAUCGAGAGGAACACCUGCGGCGAAGGCGGGUUGCUGGGCCGACACUGACGCUGAUGCGCGAAAGCCAGGGGAGCGAACGGG